AGAGUUUGAUCCUGGCUCAGGACGAACGCUGGCGGCGUGCCUAAUACAUGCAAGUCGAACGCUUCUUUUUCCACCGGAGCUUGCUCCACCGGAAAAAGAAGAGUGGCGAACGGGUGAGUAACACGUGGGUAACCUGCCCAUCAGAAGGGGAUAACACUUGGAAACAGGUGCUAAUACCGUAUAACAAUCGAAACCGCAUGGUUUUGAUUUGAAAGGCGCUUUCGGGUGUCGCUGAUGGAUGGACCCGCGGUGCAUUAGCUAGUUGGUGAGGUAACGGCUCACCAAGGCCACGAUGCAUAGCCGACCUGAGAGGGUGAUCGGCCACAUUGGGACUGAGACACGGCCCAAACUCCUACGGGAGGCAGCAGUAGGGAAUCUUCGGCAAUGGACGAAAGUCUGACCGAGCAACGCCGCGUGAGUGAAGAAGGUUUUCGGAUCGUAAAACUCUGUUGUUAGAGAAGAACAAGGAUGAGAGUAACUGUUCAUCCCUUGACGGUAUCUAACCAGAAAGCCACGGCUAACUACGUGCCAGCAGCCGCGGUAAUACGUAGGUGGCAAGCGUUGUCCGGAUUUAUUGGGCGUAAAGCGAGCGCAGGCGGUUUCUUAAGUCUGAUGUGAAAGCCCCCGGCUCAACCGGGGAGGGUCAUUGGAAACUGGGAGACUUGAGUGCAGAAGAGGAGAGUGGAAUUCCAUGUGUAGCGGUGAAAUGCGUAGAUAUAUGGAGGAACACCAGUGGCGAAGGCGGCUCUCUGGUCUGUAACUGACGCUGAGGCUCGAAAGCGUGGGGAGCAAACAGGAUUAGAUACCCUGGUAGUCCACGCCGUAAACGAUGAGUGCUAAGU
Molecule: ribosomal RNA, 842 nt
Filed under: human gut metagenome
Description: bacterial SSU rRNA
Rfam family: Bacterial small subunit ribosomal RNA
Source: RNAcentral